RNAcentral lists this ribosomal RNA (429 nucleotides) under Gemmatimonadota bacterium. RNAcentral's name for it is "Gemmatimonadetes bacterium partial 16S ribosomal RNA". It matches the Rfam family "Bacterial small subunit ribosomal RNA", at positions 355 to 776 of the family's 1533-position model. The record is from RNAcentral. Lineage: Bacteria; Pseudomonadati; Gemmatimonadota.
UAGGGAAUCUUCGGCAAUGGACGAAAGUCUGACCGAGCAACGCCGCGUGAGUGAAGAAGGUUUUCGGAUCGUAAAACUCUGUUGUUAGAGAAGAACAAGGACGUUAGUAACUGAACGUCCCCUGACGGUAUCUAACCAGAAAGCCACGGCUAACUACGUGCCAGCAGCCGCGGUAAUACGUAGGUGGCAAGCGUUGUCCGGCUUUAUUGGGCGUAAAGCGAGCGCAGGCGGUUUCUUAAGUCUGAUGUGAAAGCCCCGGGCUCAACCGGGGAGGGUGAUUGGAAAUGGGGGGACUUGAGUGCAGAAGAGGAGAGUGAAAUUCCAGGUGUAGCGGUGAAAUGCGUAGAUAUAUGGAGGAACACCAGUGGCGAAGGCGGCUCUCUGGUCUGUAACUGACGCUGAGGCUCGAAAGCGUGGGGAGCAAACAGG